Molecule: ribosomal RNA, 259 nt
Filed under: uncultured bacterium
Lineage: Bacteria
Description: partial 16S ribosomal RNA
Rfam family: Bacterial small subunit ribosomal RNA
Source: RNAcentral
CGGACGGGUGAGUAACGCGGUGGGAACCUCGCCCUGUACCGGGGGAUAGCAGCCGGAAACGGCUGAUAAUACCGCAUAAGCGCACGAAUGUCGCAUGACAUGGUGUGAAAAACUCCGGUGGUAUAGGAUGGACCCGCGUCUGAUUAGCCUGUUGGUGGGGUAAAAGCCUACCAAAGCGAAGAUCAGUAGCCGAGUUGAGAGACUGACCGGCCACAUUGGGACUGAGACACGGCCCAGACUCCUACGGGAGGCAGCAGCU